This 318-nucleotide ribosomal RNA is filed under the name Triticum aestivum (bread wheat). RNAcentral describes it as "partial small subunit ribosomal RNA". The record is from RNAcentral. Lineage: Eukaryota; Viridiplantae; Streptophyta; Magnoliopsida; Poales; Poaceae.
AUGUUUUCUAACAUCACUUCGUGUUAUUUUGUUAGUGACACGAAUGUUUACGACAUCUUGCAUAACCGGUUUUUAUGUGUGAUAUCAUAUCAAAUUGCUAGAAAAGAUCAUAAAAAACCUAGUACAAUAACAACCGCAAAAAAAAAAUGUUUGCGUCUGCUUACAUUUCUCAUUCAAAUAAAUGCACAUUUAGCUCAUUAUGCCUACCAAUGGCAGUUAGUUCUAGUCAAAUUCAAUAAGCCUAAAAAUUCAUCCAUUUUUGUCACAGGAGGUUCAACCUAUUAUAAUUUCACUGCUGCCACUGUAAGAGGUUGUUAG